GUGCUCACUUCAACAGCAUAGAUACUAAAACUAGAACAAUGCAGAAUAAAUUAGCAUUGCCUGUUGCAUGAGGAUAACAUGCAAAUUUGUAAAGCAAUCUAUAUUUCU
Molecule: small nuclear RNA, 108 nt
Organism: Trichosurus vulpecula (common brushtail)
Lineage: Eukaryota; Metazoa; Chordata; Mammalia; Diprotodontia; Phalangeridae
Source: RefSeq, a predicted model, not a curated record